UACGUAGGGUGCGAGCGUUGUCCGGAAUUAUUGGGCGUAAAGAGCUCGUAGGCGGUCUGUCGCGUCGAUCGUGAAAACUUGGGGCUUAACCCUGAGCUUGCGGUCGAUACGGGCAUGACUGGAGUUCGGCAGGGGAGACUGGAAUUCCUGGUGUAGCGGUGAAAUGCGCAGAUAUCAGGAGGAACACCGGUGGCGAAGGCGACAUCCUGGACCGGUAUUGACGCUGAGGCGCGAAAGCGUGGGGAGCGAACAGG
RNAcentral lists this ribosomal RNA (254 nucleotides) under uncultured bacterium. RNAcentral's name for it is "partial 16S ribosomal RNA". It matches the Rfam family "Bacterial small subunit ribosomal RNA", at positions 524 to 776 of the family's 1533-position model. The record is from RNAcentral.